Molecule: ribosomal RNA, 256 nt
Filed under: uncultured bacterium
Lineage: Bacteria
Description: partial 16S ribosomal RNA
Rfam family: Bacterial small subunit ribosomal RNA
Source: RNAcentral
UACGGGGGGGAGCAAGCGUUGUUCGGAUUUACUGGGCGUAAAGGGCGCGUAGGCGGCCACCGCAAGUCGACUGUGAAAUCUCCGGGCUUAACCCGGAAAGGUCAGCCGAUACUGCGGGGCUAGAGUGCAGAAGGGGCAACUGGAAUUCUCGGUGUAGCGGUGAAAUGCGUAGGAUAUCGAGAGGAACACCUGCGGCGAAGGCGGGUUGCUGGGCUGACACUGACGCUGAGGCGCGAAGCUAGGGGAGCGAACGGGA